GUUUUUCUCCUGGUUUUCACUGUUGGCCUAUAUGUUCUUUUGCAAAUUUCAUAAGGCACGCGGUGAAUGCCAAGAGCGAACGA
This is a non-coding RNA of Anopheles funestus (African malaria mosquito), 83 nucleotides long. NCBI's taxonomy places the organism in Eukaryota, Metazoa, Arthropoda, Insecta, Diptera, Culicidae. The record is from Rfam.